RNAcentral lists this transfer RNA (64 nucleotides) under Chloeia sp. r EEE-2022. Its description in RNAcentral is "tRNA-Leu". The record is from RNAcentral. Lineage: Eukaryota; Metazoa; Annelida; Polychaeta; Eunicida; Amphinomidae.
UCUGGUUUGGCAGAUCAGUGCAAUUGACUUAGGAUCAAUAUAGAGGAUUAAUUCCUAACCAGUA